RNAcentral lists this ribosomal RNA (481 nucleotides) under uncultured bacterium. RNAcentral describes it as "partial 16S ribosomal RNA". It matches the Rfam family "Bacterial small subunit ribosomal RNA", at positions 29 to 506 of the family's 1533-position model. The record is from RNAcentral.
AUUGAACGCUGGCGGCAUGCCUUACACAUGCAAGUCGAACGGUAACGGGCCUUCGGGUGCCGACGAGUGGCGAACGGGUGAGUAAUACAUCGGAACGUGCCCGAUCGUGGGGGAUAACGAGGCGAAAGCUUUGCUAAUACCGCAUACGAUCUACGGAUGAAAGCAGGGGACCGCAAGGCCUUGCGCGGACGGAGCGGCCGAUGGCAGAUUAGGUAGUUGGUGGGAUAAAAGCUUACCAAGCCGACGAUCUGUAGCUGGUCUGAGAGGAUGAUCAGCCACACGGGACCUGAGCACCGGCCCCGCCCCUUAGGGGAGGCAGCGGGGGGGAAUUUUGGAAAAGGGGGGAAACCCUGAUCCAGCACGGCCGCGGGAAGGAUGAAGGCUUUCGGGUGGAAAACUUCUUUUUGACGGAAAGAAAAGCCUUUUUUUAAAACGGGAGGGCCAUGACGGUACCGAAAGAAAAAGCACCGGCUAAUUACGU